Molecule: transfer RNA, 76 nt
Filed under: Promethearchaeati archaeon
Lineage: Archaea; Promethearchaeati
Description: Asgard group archaeon (marine sediment metagenome) tRNA-Gln
Rfam family: tRNA
About the family: Transfer RNA (tRNA) molecules are approximately 80 nucleotides in length. Their secondary structure includes four short double-helical elements and three loops (D, anti-codon, and T loops).
Source: RNAcentral
AGCCUGGUGGUGUAGCGGUCAAGCAUCCAGGGCUCUGAAUCCUGGGACGACGGUUCGAAUCCGUCCCAGGCUACCA